GACGAACGCUGGCGGCGUGCUUAACACAUGCAAGUCGAGCGGUAAGGCCCUUUCGGGGGUACACGAGCGGCGAACGGGUGAGUAACACGUGGGUGACCUGCCCUCAGCUCUGGGAUAAGCCCGGGAAACUGGGUCUAAUACCGGAUAUGACUCCAUGACGCAUGUUGUGGGGUGGAAAGCCUUGUGCGGCUGAGGAUGGGCCCGCGGCCUAUCAGCUUGUUGGUGGGGUGAUGGCCACCAAGGCGACGACGGGUAGCCGGCCUGAGAGGGCGACCGGCCACACUGGGACUGAGAUACGGCCCAGACUCCUACGGGAGGCAGCAGUGGGGAAUCUUGCGCAAUGGGCGAAAGCCUGACGCAGCGACGCCGCGUGAGGGAUGACGGCCUCGGUCGUAA
This 396-nucleotide ribosomal RNA is filed under the name uncultured bacterium. Its description in RNAcentral is "bacterial SSU rRNA". It matches the Rfam family "Bacterial small subunit ribosomal RNA", at positions 28 to 428 of the family's 1533-position model. The record is from RNAcentral.